Molecule: ribosomal RNA, 253 nt
Filed under: uncultured bacterium
Lineage: Bacteria
Description: partial 16S ribosomal RNA
Rfam family: Bacterial small subunit ribosomal RNA
Source: RNAcentral
UACGUAGGGUGCGAGCGUUAAUCGGAAUUACUGGGCGUAAAGCGUGCGCAGGCGGCGCGUUAAGACAGGUGUGAAAGCCCCGAGCUUAACUUGGGAAUUGCGCUUGUGACUGGCGUGCUGGAGUGUGGCAGAGGGAGGUGGAAUUCCACGUGUAGCAGUGAAAUGCGUAGAGAUGUGGAGGAACACCGAUGGCGAAGGCAGCCUCCUGGGCCAGCACUGACGCUCAUGCACGAAAGCGUGGGGAGCGAACAGG